GAUGAACGCUGGCGGCGUGCUUAACACAUGCAAGUCGAGCGAAAAGACGAGGCGCUUGCUGGUUGGACGAUUGGCGCGGACGGGAGUGACACACGAAGAAAACCCACCUAUCAGACUGGGAUAACUACGGGAAACCGGAGAUAAUACGGGAUAAUAUUUCGAACCACAUGGGUCGAUAGUGAAAGAUGGCUUUGCGAUCACUUAUCGAUGGACCUGCGCCGGAUUAGCUAGUUGGUAAGGUACCGGGUUACCAAGGGAAGGAGACGUGGCAGAGCUGAGAGGAUGAGCAGCCAGACUGGAAGUGAGACACGCUACAGACUCCUACGGGAGGGACCAGUAGGGAAUCUGCCGCAAGGGGCGAAAGCCUGACGGAGCAGCGCCGCGGGAUUGAGGAAGGACUUCGGAUCGGAAAACUCGGUUAUUAGGGAAGAACAAACUUGUAAGUAACUGUGCACGUCAUGACGGUACCUAAGCAGAAAGCCACGGCUAACUACGUG
Molecule: ribosomal RNA, 497 nt
Filed under: uncultured bacterium
Lineage: Bacteria
Description: partial 16S ribosomal RNA
Rfam family: Bacterial small subunit ribosomal RNA
Source: RNAcentral